CAUCGCAGUGAGGGGCGGGCAGCCAUAGCGAAGCUCGCCAUGACAACGACCAUGAAGACGCUGACGUUGACGCUGCUAGCAGCCGCGACCCUUUUGGGCCGAGCUGAAGGCCUCAUAAGACUUUCUCUGGACGGUGACUCCUGGACGGCCUCCAACGGCAACGGCUCCAUCACAGUUCCUGCAAGUGUUCCUGGCGGCAUAUAUUCAGAUCUCAGAGCUGCUGGAGUCUUACCGGAAGAUAUCUACUAUCGCUUCAAUGAUGCUGAGUAUCGCUGGGUGUCUUAUGAAAAUUGGACAUACUCGACAACAUUUCAAGUCAGUUCUGACAUCAAGAAUAAAAGGAACAUUACUCUACUUUUUAAUGGAGUGGACACAAUUGCUGACAUAUAUCUGAAUGAAAAUUACAUUGGUUCAACAGAAAACAUGUUUCUUCGAUACUUUUUCCCAGUAGAAGAUUAUAUACAGGAGGGAGAAAACGUUCUUGAAGUGAGAUUUCAGUCUGCAGUGAUAUCAGCCUUGGAUCGUUUUACGGCAGAAGAUUAUAUUGUACCACCUGAGUGUGUACCAGAUGAAUAUCAUGGAGAAUGCCAUGUAAAUUUUUUGCGUAAAAUGCAGUCAUCUUUCUCUUGGGAUUGGGGACCUGCUUUCCCAUCAGUCAGCAUAUGGAAAAAUGUAGAGCUGCUUGCUGCAAAUAAUGGUUACAUCAAGAAUUACUAUGUUUCUGUGCUGUUUAAUGAAACAAGCCAGAUGUACGAGGUAACUCAGCAUGUGGAGAUUUCUCCUUAUGAUACUAUGUGUGAUCAGUUAACAUUAGGAAUAAAUACAAUUCCAGGAGGAAAUAACAGAAAUCAAGCAAAGACGAUGAAAAUAACAUCAGACCAAUUGGUUGAUCCUCAGUUUGAAGCCACAUGGUAUUAUCCAGAGGAUGAGGUGAUGAAUUGGUGGCCCAAUGGCAUGGGUGAACAGUAUCAAUAUCGGACAUAUGCUGAAUGUAUGGAUGAGGAUGGAUUAUACACCAUAGAAAAAUAUAUUGGUUAUAGGAGAAUUAAUAUAGUUCAAGUACCUGUGGCAGAAGAUGCAGAGAAAGGUCUUAGUUUCUACUUAGAGGUCAAUGGUGUUCCAGUUUUUGCAAAGGGCAGUAACUGGAUACCAUCUCAUGUGCUUGCAGAAAUGAGUGCUGAUCCGAACAGGAUUAGAAAUCUACUAACUGCUGCCAAGAAUGCUAAUAUGAAUAUGCUACGCAUAUGGGGAGGAGGAUUGUAUGAAUCUGAUUUGUUCUAUCAGAUCGCUGAUGAAAUGGGAAUAAUGAUAUGGCAUGAUUUCAUGUUUGCCUGUAAUAUGUACCCAACAAACCCAAGGUUCCUGGAUAAUGUUGCAGCUGAAAUUACUGAGCAAAUUGUACGGCUAAUGCAUCACCCAAGCAUUGUUGUUUGGGCUGGCAACAAUGAAAAUGAAGGUGCACUCAGGGAUAACUGGUAUGGCACAGGGUCAAACUUUAGCCUUUACUACUCUGACUAUGUUAAACUGUAUGUUGAUACAAUCGGCGAAGUAGUACAAGCAUUAGACACAACCAGACCAUUUGUUUUCUCAAGUCCAUCCAAUGGCCUUAAAACCAUAGAAGAGGGAUAUGUUUCUCAGACACCAGGGGAUUCCUUGUAUGGUGAUGUUCACUAUUAUAAUUAUAAUGAUGAUGGCUGGAACUACACAACUUUCCCAACUCCUCGGUUUGCUUCUGAGUAUGGUUUCCAAUCAUUACCAUCAAUCUAUACAUUAUCUUCAAUAGCAAUACCUUCAGACCUAAGUGUUGGCAGUGAACUCAUGCAAAGAAGACAGCACCAUCUUAAUGGUUAUGAGGAAAUGGCUCAGCAAAUAAGCAGGCACCUUCCUCUUCCAGAUGACUAUGACACUGAAGAAAAUUUCCGAACUUUCAUUUACUUCAGCCAGAUUAACCAGGCAAUGUCGACAAAGGUGGAAACAGAGCACUACAGAAGGAAUCGUAAUAAGCUUACCGAUGCUGGAGAAGGAUAUACAAUGGGGGCAUUGUACUGGCAACUGAAUGACAUUUGGGAGGCUCCAUCAUGGUCUUCCAUAGAUUUUCAUGGCAACUGGAAGAUGCUUCAUUAUUAUGCAAAGAACUUUUUUGCUAAUGUUCUUGUGUCACCAUACAUCACUCCUGAAGGAGAGCUGGUAGUGAGUCUUAUCUCUGACCUGCCAUAUGAAAUGGAUACUGCUGUACUUAGCAUUUAUGUGUACCGCUGGGACAGCUUUGAGUUUGACAUAGCUAUUAUAGGAGCACAUAGACUGCCAGCUGCCACAGCAUAUGAUGCAUACAACGAAACACUGGAAAAUAUCCUGGAAGGUACAACAUGCGGUGCUGAUGGCGGUACAAAAGACGCGUGUCUAUUAUAUUUCACUUUAGAAGAUGACACAUUAACAAAAAAAAUCAGUCCAGAUAACUUUAUAUUUCUUAGUGAAAUAAAUUCAGCAAUUGGAAUCAGUGAUCCUUCAUUAAAUAUAACAUCUGUGACUGGCCCAUAUCAAGUGUCUGGCAGUGAUACUUACACAUAUAAUAUCACUGUUUCAUCCAAUGCUAUAGCUCCUUUUGUGUGGUUGGAAGCAGAAAAUAUCAAUGGGUUUUUCUCAGACAAUGGAUUUAUUAUUCUCCAACCAGUCACUGAACUUCAGUUUUACACAACUCAGGAGACAACAGCUGAAGAAUUGGAAAGUGCUCUUUCUGUCACAUCUGUCAUGAGCUCAUUUCAUUAAUCUCAUUGUAUCAUAUUAGUAAAUGUAAUUAUGUUUAAUAUAACAUCCAGUGGACACAGAAAAAUGAGUUUUCUUUUAAUUUCAGACUUAUGAUGAACACAUUGUACACAGAUUAAAAGAAAUUAAUGAAUAGAAAUAAAUAAAACUGUCAAACAUUUAUUCUCACCACAAA
Molecule: unclassified non-coding RNA, 2938 nt
Filed under: Schistocerca americana (American grasshopper)
Lineage: Eukaryota; Metazoa; Arthropoda; Insecta; Orthoptera; Acrididae
Description: beta-mannosidase-like, transcript variant X1
Source: RNAcentral